UGGGGAAUUUUGGACAAUGGGCGCAAGCCUGAUCCAGCAAUGCCGCGUGCAGGAUGAAGGCCUUCGGGUUGUAAACUGCUUUUGUACGGAACGAAACGGCUCUGUCUAAUACAUGGGGCUAAUGACGGUACCGUAAGAAUAAGCACCGGCUAACUACGUGCCAGCAGCCGCGGUAAUACGUAGGGUGCGAGCGUUAAUCGGAAUUACUGGGCGUAAAGCGUGCGCAGGCGGUUAUAUAAGACAGAUGUGAAAUCCCCGGGCUCAACCUGGGAACUGCGCUUGUGACUGCUGAGCUAGAGUACGGCAGAGGGGGGUGGAAUUCCACGUGUAGCAGUGAAAUGCGUAGAUAUGCGGAGGAACACCGAUGGCGAAGGCAAUCCCCUGGACCUGUACUGACGCUCAUGCACGAAAGCGUGGGGAGCAAACA
RNAcentral lists this ribosomal RNA (427 nucleotides) under uncultured bacterium. Its description in RNAcentral is "bacterial SSU rRNA". It matches the Rfam family "Bacterial small subunit ribosomal RNA", at positions 355 to 774 of the family's 1533-position model. The record is from RNAcentral.